Molecule: long non-coding RNA, 3474 nt
Filed under: Triticum aestivum (bread wheat)
Lineage: Eukaryota; Viridiplantae; Streptophyta; Magnoliopsida; Poales; Poaceae
Description: long non-coding RNA (TAES_LNC022920)
Source: RNAcentral
UCCAGUCACACAUGCUCUAACAUGAUUUCACGAGAGACAGUUAGGCCAGCAACGGUAUAUCCGUAAAGAACAGCGACAGCUAAAGGAAACCAUUCAGCAGGUAAGAAUGAGAUAGACUUUUCAGUGCCAGGCAACCAUUGCGCUGUAGAGAAGUGGAACAACAUUCAUGGUACUGCUAUUGUUAAUCGAAAGAACUUUCUUUUGUUAACAUGGUACCCACUAACGUGUGCAUAUGCAUUUUUCUCCUGUAGUCCUAGAGGGAUAAAGACACAUAUAAUUACGAUGGAGGUGACAGGCCUGAAAAUGUGAGAAUUGAAGCAAUACAUUCCCUUGUAUAUAUGUUUUCUCUUUUGAAAUAUCUCAAUAGUUUUCCAAUUUGUUUCCUGUAAAUCUCAUAUUUUAAUACUCCUUAGACCUUAGUAAUGCAUAGGUGUAAUAUUUGUUGAUAUUGCAAUUUUGAAGGAUCUGCUUUUCUUGUAUAGAUCUAUUUUUUUAAUCUUGAAGGCAGUACGAGAGGCCCUAAUGACAUAUAUACAGUACUAACAAGAAUAUGGGGGCUUUCAUAACUUGAGGUAGCUUCCAUCUUCUUGUUGUGUAUUUAUUUUUCUUAGAUGAAAAUCUUACACCAAGAAGUGGGGUCUCUCAGAAAAUUAUCAUUGUUAUUCUCCUUUUCAUUGUUUGGGCUUUUUUUCUCAAUAUAUGCUUCUACAAAAAAAAUGUAGGUCGGCCCCAUGUUGCCACCGUGGCCGGUGACUCGGGUGGAUCCAAUCCCCCCGGCCUCCAGGGUCAUUGUGCCCUCUCUCCAUUACCUCCUUCGUCGCUGGAGGAUGCUGACGGGCUAAGCCUAGGGGGUCGACGAUGAUGGCGGAGGCUCCUGCCUUCACUGCAUCGGUGGAUCACGCGGAAUCUCUGGGCACAUGGAGCAUUGCCAAAACCAGCACCAGGGUGGCGCUCGGCUGACUCCCGACGUUGGUUCCACACAAACACAUGGGGAGGGGAACUAUAUGUUACAAUCUGAAAAUGGCUAAGGAGACAUCAGAUCUACCUUCUUGGCUCGGAGGGUGUCAUGGGUGGCGCACAACUCCCCCCUAUCGACAGAAACACAUGGGGAGGGGAACAGAACAGAGAGCGGGGCGGUUGGCGGGGGACUCCUCGGCGGUCCGUGGGGAAAUACAAUGUGAAGAAGAGAGUGCGACAUGACGAAGGUGAGAUGGGCGUUAUCUGGUUUCAAUGGAGAGGGCUCCAGUGAAAAAUGUCCCGUUAUGGCGGGAAACGAGUGGGGAGGUGAGGGUUCGGCAGGGAAAGAGAAGGGUGCGUCGUGGGUGUGGUUUUUUUUAAUUUGUUCGGCGCGCACUUGUUAGAGAUAACAUGGCCAAUAGUCUGGAUAACCAUAUUUCUUCCUCACAUAUGGAUAUGCAUGGAUUUGAAGAUACCCUAUUCUCGAGACGGUUGAAUUUUGGGGAUCCUGUUAGAUGUUCGUUUGAUGUACGUUCACACUCGAACGUAGGAGGGAGAAAUGAGCUUCCACUUUAGAAUUUAAUUAUUUUUUUGAUUUAUUUAUAUGCAUUGUAGUCCGUAGCAACGCACGGGCAUUCUACUGGACUGACAUAAAGUCAGUGAGUUCAAAAUUUCCAUGUUUAGUUUUGACUGAUGUUAUGGUUCUUCAUUGAGUUUUGUUCCAGGUAUUUACCUAGAUCCUUGAAAUGCUAUUCGUAUUGGCCUGAAUGCAGUUGAAUUCUGAAUCAUAAACAAGCUGGGAGAUUUGUCUUCCACAUAGUAGGUGCUGAUGCUUAUGAUUUUCUUCAAAAAAGAUAUGGGAAAGGCUAACCCAAUAUUUUAGUUUUCAUUAUGAGGACCAUGUACAUAAUCGACCAUAUAGUUCAAAAAAGAUCUAUUGGUGAAGGUUUGUUUGAGUUCCACUAUUUCAGUUCACACAUGUACAUGUUCUGUAUUUUUUGCAGUUUUUAGUGCAUGCUCGGAGAACAAGAUAAGAGGAGAGGCUUGAAUCUUGAGAUGACAAGGGUAGUCACCUGCUGCGACUAAAGGUUCAGUUUCAUACUUCUGAUGAUAUUGUUCGGAUGAUUGCCCUUGUACUAUUCUUUUUAGUACGUACUAAAAUAUCUUGUUGUACGAAAAUCUGAUUUCUACUAAAACUUUGUCAAGUGGCUCAUUUUUCUUGUACUAAUAUCUGAAUUUUUUUACUGAUUACUGAAAUGUACCUUGUUACUAAAACUUCAUAGGAAGGAGGUCAAUGAAGCAAAAGGCACGAAAAGGAAGGAGCAGCGCCACAGGGACGAUGUUGUCGGCAGCGCUUUGGAAGGAUUCGCUCCAGAGAAGUUACGGUAGUCGGCCAUCGCCCAGGGGAAGCGGGGAGGAUGUCGUUCGAAACGCCUGGGUCUAGAGGAGUGUGUCCAGGUGGUGGCCGAGGAUGGCGACGAGCAAUUGGGUUGAGCAUUUGUCAACGUGAUGGUGUCGUUGCUAAAGGUACCAACACCCUUGUUUUGACCCAAUGUUUCUCGACUAGCUGUGAAUGGCUGGGACUGUUUCGUGCAUAUAGGGGACGGCUCAUGCCAUCCACUUCCAAAGCAAUAAGGUAGUCAUCCAUGUCACUGUCGCUUGCUGUUAGUUUUUUUUGGAUUCCAUAGGUGUUUCUUAAUGCAUCAAUCAUUUUCAAUUAGGACGGGAGUCUGAAAAAUGUUGUAAGAUUAUCGCCAUUUUUUUAAACUACAAAAGUCCAAAGAUUAGAAGCAUGAUCUUUUAUUUUUCAUGUUGCUCUACCUCUGUAGUGUCAAAUCAUAGGAACUUUUAUCACAUAUUCUAAUUUAUCCUUGAUGGCAAAUAAUCCAAACAAAAUAUUCGGAAGUAAUGGAGGCCUCGCCAGAGUAAGGGGGAAAAUUGUGGGAGUGGACGCACAUCAUGUAGGCGAGACGACAGAGUUCAUGGUUGUACUGGCCAUGAGUGGGCAUAAACCACUUUACACUAAUUACUUUACAUUAAUAUUAUUGUUUGCAGACUUGAAAGGAGAAAAUAUUGGCAAAAAGUCCCUCAAAGUUCGUAGUCUGGGUGUAGAAGGUUUGGAGAUUUUGAGCCGGAUGGGCCAUUGAUGGUUGCGGUUGGCUUGGAUAGGGAAUGUAGAGAUAGUAAGUGAAGAGGAGCAGGAGAACGAAGACGAAGAAGAAUAAUGGUUUAUAGGCAGAAAAAAAUUAAGAAUGUUGCUUAAUGUGCAUGAGGAUCCAAACAAUGUAUAUUUGACACGAUUAAAGUUAACUCAUGUCGAGCCUCAGGGUGGUGGUGGAGCAGUCAUGAUGGACGGUUAUUGUGCAAGAAUUUGUUAAACGCAUCAAAUAGAUAUUAAUUUGUAACAAAUUUUUAGUUCGAUCAUCGCACUAUAUGCAGGGACGAAGCUCCCUUGUAGGCAUUGGGGUCAAUUGACCCCAAUGAAAUUAAGAAAUGCUUCAUUAAUUUAGUACUAAG